This 496-nucleotide ribosomal RNA is filed under the name uncultured bacterium. RNAcentral's name for it is "partial 16S ribosomal RNA". It matches the Rfam family "Bacterial small subunit ribosomal RNA", at positions 28 to 506 of the family's 1533-position model. The record is from RNAcentral.
GAUGAACGCUGGCGGCGUGCCUAAUACAUGCAAGUCGAGCGAACAGACGAGGAGCUUGCUCCUCUGACGUUAGCGGCGGACGGGUGAGUAACACGUGGAUAACCUACCUAUAAGACUGGGAUAACUUCGGGAAACCGGAGCUAAUACCGGAUAAUAUAUUGAACCGCAUGGUUCAAUAGUGAAAGACGGUUUUGCUGUCACUUAUAGAUGGAUCCGCGCCGCAUUAGCUAGUUGGUAAGGUAACGGCUUACCAAGGCAACGAUGCGUAGCCGACCUGAGAGGGGGAUGGGCCACACAGGAACUGAGACACGGUCCAGACUCCUACGGGAGGCAGCAGUAGGGAAUCUUCCGCAAUGGGCGAAAGCUUGACGGAGCAACGCAGCGUGAGUGAUGAAGGGCUGCGGAUCGUAAAACGCUGUUAUUAGGGAAGAACAAAUGUGUAAGUAACUAUGCACGUCUUGACGGUACCUAAUCAGAAAGCCACGGCUAACUACGU